Molecule: ribosomal RNA, 497 nt
Filed under: uncultured bacterium
Lineage: Bacteria
Description: partial 16S ribosomal RNA
Rfam family: Bacterial small subunit ribosomal RNA
Source: RNAcentral
GAUGAACGCUGGCGGCGUGCCUAAUACAUGCAAGUCGAGCGAACAGACGAGGAGCUUGCUCCUCUGACGUUAGCGGCGGACGGGUGAGUAACACGUGGAUAACCUACCUAUAAGACUGGGAUAACUUCGGGAAACCGGAGCUAAUACCGUAUAAUAUAUUGCACCGCAUGGUUGAAUAGUGAAAGACGGUUUUGCUGUCACUUAUAGAUGGAUCCGCGCCGCAUUAGCUAGUUGGUAAGUUAACGGCUUACCAAGGCAACGAUGCGUACCCGACCUGAGAGGGUGAUCGGCCACACUGGAACUGAGACACGGUCCAGACUCCUACGGGAGGCAGCAGUAGGGAAUCUUCCGCAAUGGGCGAAAGCCUGACGGAGCAACGCCGCGUGAGUGAUGAAGGUCUUCGGAUCGUAAAACUCUGUUAUUAGGGAAGAACAAAUGUGUAAGUAACUAUGCACGUCUUGACGGUACCUAAUCAGAAAGCCACGGCUAACUACGUG